RNAcentral lists this long non-coding RNA (239 nucleotides) under Homo sapiens (human). RNAcentral describes it as "LNC_000532". The record is from RNAcentral. Lineage: Eukaryota; Metazoa; Chordata; Mammalia; Primates; Hominidae.
UGUUCCUUAAGGCAGGAAGCAUGACUCCUGAGCUUAAUGUAACUCAAGACUCAGAGACAUUCGGAGCUCCAAAUAUUGCUGUUUGGAGAAAUCUGCACCUUAAUAAGAGCAGUUAUUUGUGAGAAAAAAAAAAGACAAGAAUAUAUAUGAGAUGGGUAAGCAAUUCUAUUGGCCUGGGGUGAUGACGAUUUUUAUCUGCCAUCUAGCCCCAAGCUCUGGGCUCUGACUCCUUUGUGCAG